RNAcentral lists this ribosomal RNA (460 nucleotides) under uncultured bacterium. Its description in RNAcentral is "partial 16S ribosomal RNA". It matches the Rfam family "Bacterial small subunit ribosomal RNA", at positions 338 to 795 of the family's 1533-position model. The record is from RNAcentral.
CCUACGGGGCGCAGCAGUGAGGAAUAUUGGUCAAUGGGCGCGAGCCUGAACCAGCCAAGUCGCGUGAGGGAAGACGGCCCUACGGGUUGUAAACCUCUUUUGCCGGGGAGCAACGGGCGCCACGUGUGGCGCCACUGAGAGUACCCGGAGAAAAAGCAUCGGCUAACUCCGUGCCAGCAGCCGCGGUAAUACGGAGGAUGCGAGCGUUAUCCGGAUUUAUUGGGUUUAAAGGGUGCGUAGGCGGAGCGUUAAGUCAGUGGUCAAAUUGAGGGGCUCAACCUCGCUCCGCCGUUGAAACUGGCGUUCUUGAGGGGGCGAGAAGUAUGCGGAAUGCGUGGUGUAGCGGUGAAAUGCAUAGAUAUCACGCAGAACUCCGAUUGCGAAGGCAGCAUACCGGCGCCCAACUGACGCUGAAGCACGAAAGCGUGGGUAUCGAACAGGAUUAGAUACCCUUGUAGUC